Molecule: microRNA, 21 nt
Filed under: Gadus morhua (Atlantic cod)
Lineage: Eukaryota; Metazoa; Chordata; Actinopteri; Gadiformes; Gadidae
Description: gmo-miR-11213-5p
Source: miRBase by way of RNAcentral
UAUGAACCUUGCACUGGAAGA